CCUGUCCAGCUCUUGCCUUUUUCACAUUCAGUAUCUACAUGUAAAGGGAGCAGACACAGGAAAAAGGUAUUGAAGACCCUUGAUAUGAUAUUGCUGUUUUUGUUUUAGAUUCCAAAGUUAACCCUUUAAUUUAUCCCUUUUCCCCAAGUAGAACGCUGCAUUUACUUUACAUUUUGCUUUGGAGUCGGAAGUUCCAAAAUCACCAGGAGAGCUCCUCAGGCAUCUCCUGCCUGUAAUUCCUGGGAAAUGCCACCUGCCACCCAUCCUUGGAAGCGUCGCCCAUUCUCAGGAUCUCAUGCGUCACCAUUCAUCACAGUCACAGCGCUUGCAGACAUCUGGAUAAAAGGAAAAGCCCAUUUUUUUAAAACUUACACGUUAAAUUUUCCUCUAAUUACCAUUUUAUUAUUUUAAAUUUCAUUAUGUUUAAUUACAUUUAGUAUGGAUUAAGGCACAGCCAGCCUGGAUUAAGGCAUCACCAGCCUGGCAUCAGACUCUCCGGACAAUGCCAGCCCAGAGGGGGCUGACCUGGAGGACAUUCCCCCGGAGGACAUGGAGUGGGAGCCUCCAGGUCUUGACCUGAGUCCCACUCCGUGGUGUCAGCCCCGUGGCCAAAGUUUCCCCAGCCGAGGAGGCUAUCGCCGCGACAACGGCAGGGUCAACAGAAAUCCAGUCGUGGGCUCAGCUCCGGGAGGAAAAAACGAGGGUCCCUGGUUUGGUCCAGUUCCUGUCCUGCCUGCCCCUCGACACCCUCCGACUCUGCCAACCCCUCGCCGUCUACCGAUGCUGUUCUUCCCUCGGCUGCCGCAGACGAGUAGAGCUUCUACAGACCCAGACAGGAUUCCAAAGGCCCCCCUGGCCGUGACCCUUCUGCGGCACCCCGGAGCCCAUCAGAGGCCCUGAACUGUUCACUUUACCUCCCAUGCUACCUAGUGUCUUGCCCCUCCUAAUACCUCAGUCUUUGGUCUGUAGUCUUGCUUCCCCGUGGCUCUCCCUGGUUUCACCUCUUAGCCUGAUUUCACUGUUCCAGCCCCCACUCCAGUCACUCUUGCUUCCCGCUUUAGGUUCCCCUCUCCUGGCCAUAUUAUUGUUGCACUGGUUCCGUUGCUUGCCUGUCUUGUCUGGUUGUGUCCUGCCUUGUCUGUCCCUGUGUCGUCUUUGGUCCUUUUGAUGCCCAAUCCCUCCCUUUUGUCUCCUUCUACUGUGUCCUUUGUUCCCACUUACCCACUGACACCCACUGUCUGUCUUUUGGUCCAUAGUCAGCAUCCCUGUUGGAUUACCUGGCCUGUCAUGAUUUGUGUCCUGGGGGUUAGUCUCCCCUGUUGUCCUUGGUUUUGCCCUGGUCUGUGUGUCCCCUCAAUGAUGCCCUUGUACCCGGAGGGCACAGGAUUGGGAGGGGGGCGUUUACUGUCAUAUCUUGCCCAUUUAAUCAACUUUACCCUCCAGUUCUCCUCCCUGAUGAGCCACGCUUGGUGUCUAUUAGUCUCAUCCCAUGUUCCUCCCCUUCUGUCAGUCACUAUCAGCUUCCUUGUGUUUUCCCAUUCCUUAGUCUGGUAAAGUGCCCAGUCCU
Molecule: long non-coding RNA, 1567 nt
Organism: Brienomyrus brachyistius
Lineage: Eukaryota; Metazoa; Chordata; Actinopteri; Osteoglossiformes; Mormyridae
Exons: 3
Source: RefSeq, a predicted model, not a curated record